This 253-nucleotide ribosomal RNA is filed under the name uncultured bacterium. RNAcentral describes it as "partial 16S ribosomal RNA". It matches the Rfam family "Bacterial small subunit ribosomal RNA", at positions 524 to 776 of the family's 1533-position model. The record is from RNAcentral.
UACGAAGGGUGCAAGCGUUACUCGGAAUUACUGGGCGUAAAGGGUUCGUAGGUGGCUCGCUAAGUCAGACGUGAAAUCCCUCAGCUUAACUGGGGAACUGCGUCUGAGACUGGCGAGCUCGAGUGCAGGAGAGGAACGCGGAAUUCCAGGUGUAGCGGUGAAAUGCGUAGAUAUCUGGAGGAACACCGGUGGCGAAGGCGGCGUUCUGGACUGCAACUGACACUGAGGAACGAAAGCCAGGGGAGCAAACGGG